UUAAUCGGAAUUACUGGGCGUAAAGCGCACGCAGGCGGUUUGUUAAGUCAGAUGUGAAAUCCCCGGGCUCAACCUGGGAACUGCAUUUGAAACUGGCAAGCUAGAGUCUCGUAGAGGGGGGUAGAAUUCCAGGUGUAGCGGUGAAAUGCGUAGAGAUCUGGAGGAAUACCGGUGGCGAAGGCGGCCCCCUGGACGAAGACUGACGCUCAGGUGCGAAAGCGUGGGGAGCAAACAGGAUUAGAUACCCUGGUAGUCCACGCUGUAAACGAUGUCGAUUUGGAGGUUGUGCCCUUGAGGCGUGGCUUCCGGAGCUAACGCGUUAAAUCGACCGCCUGGGGAGUACGGCCGCAAGGUUAAAACUCAAAUGAAUUGACGGGGGCCCGCACAAGCGGUGGAGCAUGUGGUUUAAUUCGAUGCGACGCGAAGAACCUUACCUACUCUUGACAUCCAGAGAACUUUCCAGAGAUGGAUUGGUGCCUUCGGGAACUCUGAGA
RNAcentral lists this ribosomal RNA (494 nucleotides) under Serratia marcescens. Its description in RNAcentral is "bacterial SSU rRNA". It matches the Rfam family "Bacterial small subunit ribosomal RNA", at positions 541 to 1034 of the family's 1533-position model. The record is from RNAcentral. Lineage: Bacteria; Pseudomonadati; Pseudomonadota; Gammaproteobacteria; Enterobacterales; Yersiniaceae.